Molecule: ribosomal RNA, 493 nt
Filed under: uncultured bacterium
Lineage: Bacteria
Description: partial 16S ribosomal RNA
Rfam family: Bacterial small subunit ribosomal RNA
Source: RNAcentral
ACGAACGCUGGCGGCGUGCCUAAUACAUGCAAGUAGAACGCUGAAGGAGGAGCUUGCUUCUCUGGAUGAGUUGCGAACGGGUGAGUAACGCGUAGGUAACCUGCCUGGUAGCGGGGGAUAACUAUUGGAAACGAUAGCUAAUACCGCAUAAGAGUAGAUGUUGCAUGACAUUUGCUUAAAAGGUGCAAUUGCAUCACUACCAGAUGGACCUGCGUUGUAUUAGCUAGUUGGUGGGGUAACGGCUCACCAAGGCGACGAUACAUAGCCGACCUGAGAGGGUGAUCGGCCACACUGGGACUGAGACACGGCCCAGACUCCUACGGGAGGCAGCAGUAGGGAAUCUUCGGCAAUGGACGGAAGUCUGACCGAGCAACGCCGCGUGAGUGAAGAAGGUUUUCGGAUCGUAAAGCUCUGUUGUAAGAGAAGAACGAGUGUGAGAGUGGAAAGUUCACACUGUGACGGUAUCUUACCAGAAAGGGACGGCUAACUACGU